Molecule: ribosomal RNA, 376 nt
Filed under: uncultured organism
Description: partial 16S ribosomal RNA
Rfam family: Archaeal small subunit ribosomal RNA
Source: RNAcentral
CAGCUCUCCGAGUGGUAGGGACGAUUAUUGGGCUUAAAGCGUCCGUAGCCGGCUUAGCAAGUCUCCUGUUAAAUUCAGCGACCUAAUCGUUGAGCCGCGGGAGAUACUACUAGGCUAGGAGGCGGGAGAGGCCGACGGUAUUCUCGGGGUAGGGGUGAAAUCCUAUAAUCCCGGGAGGACCACCAGUGGCGAAGGCUGUCGGCUAGAACGCGCUCGACGGUGAGGGACGAAAGCUGGGGGAGCGAACCGGAUUAGAUACCCGGGGUAGUCCCAGCCGUAAACGAUGCGGGCUAGGUGUUGGGGUGGCUACGAGCCCACUUCAGUGCCGCAGGGAAGCCAUUAAGCCCGCCGCCUGGGGAGUACGGCCGCAAGGCUG